Non-coding RNA from Podarcis lilfordi (Lilford's wall lizard), 74 nucleotides. Lineage: Eukaryota; Metazoa; Chordata; Lepidosauria; Squamata; Lacertidae. The record is from the annotation of a GenBank genome assembly.
GGACAACUGUAGCUCAUUGGUAGAGCAUCUGACUUGCAUGCAGAAGGUCACCGGUUCAAUCCCCGGCAUCUCCA